CCGAGAGGACCCACAGAACCUCUGAAGGAAGCAGACUGCUCCUGCAGGACCCAGGAGACACCCCAAAUACUCACGUUUUAUUUGCCACUAUUUGAAGUCUGAACUUUAAACAGAUUCUUGGACUGGUGGUUCAUAUCCAUCAGCUCGUUCAACUUUAGCACCUGUCUCGUCCCCAGUGGCUUUUCCAGAACUACUGCCUUCACCAUGAAGCUCCAUGAGCUUUCCCAAUUCAAACUUGGGCUUCUUCAGCAUUUUUACUUUUCUAACGAAGACAUCAUGGAGAGGAUAAAUAGAUUGGCAAGCCUUUUCUAUGUCUUUUCCAAUGCUGUCUGGAAUCAAUUUAUUGACCACUUCUUUCAAGUCAUUUGUCUGCACCUCUCGGAUCAUGAUUUCCAUCAUCUUCUUCCGGAUUUGGCGGACCUGUUGGUGCUGAGCAUAAGAGGUCUUCCGUAUCUGAUUUUUGCGUUUUUUAGUAAAACCAACACAGAACAGACGAAGCAAGUAACCAUCGGUAGUCUUGACAUCAACGUGAGCUUCAAUCAUUGUCUGCCAUUUUUUGACCAUGGAACACAUUUUGUCACGGGUAAGAUCCAUGCCAUGGAAGUUAGUCAGGCAGUUUUUACCCUGAACAUCUUCAGUAAUCAGCUUGAAUUUUCUAAAUGCAACUUCAUCAUUCUGCAAAUCAGCAAGACUCACUUCAAACACACGACCCUUGAGACCAUCAGACGCAAUUUUGGUUCCUUGGGUCCUGGUGACGAGCGUCUUUCCAAUAUUUCUUAUAUUGAACAUAGCAGGUGCUUUCACAUCAUACCAAUCUUUCUUAGAAAAUGGAUCAACCACUUUCUUCUUGGCUCCCUUUUUGCCGCCUUUCGUAAGGCGCUUGUUCUUGC
This 890-nucleotide long non-coding RNA is filed under the name Homo sapiens (human). RNAcentral describes it as "HSALNT0381534". The record is from RNAcentral. Lineage: Eukaryota; Metazoa; Chordata; Mammalia; Primates; Hominidae.